Molecule: ribosomal RNA, 308 nt
Filed under: uncultured eukaryote
Lineage: Eukaryota
Description: partial 18S ribosomal RNA
Rfam family: Eukaryotic small subunit ribosomal RNA
Source: RNAcentral
CCCUUAGACGUUCUGGGCCGCACGCGCGUUACACUGACGAAGGCAACGAGCUUUCCUUUACCGAAAGGUACGGGUAAUCUUUUGAAACUUCGUCGUGCUGGGGAUAGAUCCUUGCAAUUAUUGAUCUUAAACGAGGAAUUCCUAGUAAGCGCAAGUCAUCAACUUGCGUUGAUUACGUCCCUGCCCUUUGUACACACCGCCCGUCGCUACUACCGAUUGAAUGGUUUAGUGAGGCCUUCGGAUCCGCGACUCGUUUUGUGGAGAAGUUGGACAAACUCAGUCAUUUAGAGGAAGUAAAAGUCGUAACA